GACGAACGCUGGCGGCGUGCUUAACACAUGCAAGUCGAACGAAGUGGCGAACGGGUGAGUAACGCGUAAUCAACCUGCCCUUCAGAGGGGGACAACAGUUGGAAACGACUGCUAAUACCGCAUACUGUAUGUGGGGAUUUCGUCUGAUUAGCUAGUUGGAGGGGUAACGGCCCACCAAGGCGAUGAUCAGUAGCAGGUGUGAUAGGAUGAACGGCCACAGUGGGACUGAUACACGGCCCAGAAUCCGACGGGAGGCAGCAGUGGGGAAUCUGCCGCAAUGGACGAAAGUCUGACGGAGAAACGCCGCGUGAGUGAUGACGGCCUUCGGGUUGUAAAGCUCUGUUAAGCGGGACGAGGUAAGGGAAGAGAAAGCCACGGCUAACUACGUGCCAGCAGCCGCGGUAAUUG
This 408-nucleotide ribosomal RNA is filed under the name uncultured bacterium. RNAcentral describes it as "partial 16S ribosomal RNA". It matches the Rfam family "Bacterial small subunit ribosomal RNA", at positions 28 to 527 of the family's 1533-position model. The record is from RNAcentral.